This is a long non-coding RNA of Etheostoma cragini (Arkansas darter), 1832 nucleotides long. RefSeq lists it as uncharacterized. The transcript has 3 exons. The record is from RefSeq and is a predicted model, not a curated record. Lineage: Eukaryota; Metazoa; Chordata; Actinopteri; Perciformes; Percidae.
UUCUGCAUAUUAUCCGUCAAAAUUUCAACAUCACUUUCCUUUUCCAUCAUGCCAUGCACCCGAACAAGGCUCCCUGUGCCUGAGGCUGCCAAACAGCCCCACAGCAUGAUGCUCCCCCCGCCAUGUUUAACUGUGGGAACCGUGUUCCUAGGGUUGAAGGCCUCUCCUUUUCUUCGCCAAACAUAAGCAACAUCCGUGUGCCCAACCAGUUCCAGUUUAGUCUCAUCAGACCAAAACGCAGACUUCCAAAACUCAUCUUUAUCUUUCAAAUGUUCACGGGCCAACCUCAGUCUGGCUGUGAUGUGCCGCUCUUUGAGUAAAGGGGUUCUUCUGGGAUGAUGGCCCUGAAGCCCACCAUGAUGAAGAGCCCUCACGUCUGUGUUCCUUGAAACAUCAACUCAGGAAGAGUCCAGGUCAGCAACAAUCUUCAUGGCAGAUGUCCGCGGGUUGUUGCUGACAUCUCGGACUAUUUUCCUCUCCAGAGUUCUUGCGUGCGCUUACGACCACGCACAGGUUUGUUUCUUACAGAAUUUGUCUCCUUGUACUUGCAACGUACAGGAAAGGCUAUGCUGCCAUUUCCAAGCAUUUGGAAAUGGCAGUAUAGCCUUCCCCCUUAUCAUGAGCCUCCAUGUUUUUCUUUCUGAGCUCAAGACUUAUUUCCUUUGUCUUUGGCAUGGUGAGUAUAUGUAGUCGUAGUAGUAGUUUUCAGUAGCCUCUCAAUAAUGUGUUCAAGUUCAUUGGAGUCCUUUUACGGUGAUUGAAUGCUCAGGUGUUGUUAGGAAGCCAAUUGACUGCACAGGUGUUGUUUGAAAGCGGAUUGGUUAAUUAGGUGUGUUUUGAAAGCAAAUAUUCACAUGGGGGCUAAUAUUUUUGACCACCCCAUUUUUCACUAUAUUUGAUAUAAAGCAAGAGUAAAAAUGUAUUUUAUAUUCCUAAAUGUACCAAACGCUACUGAAUAGCAUUGGUGAAUGUUUGAUUAUAUCAAGUUUUAAUCAAUGCUGCGAACAUUGGGAAGAAUUUUAGGAAAAUGUUCCAUAAUUCCUAGGGUCAAAAAGCAUUGUGCAAAUAACAGUGGGCUAACCUAACGCCACCUGACCAAAUCUAAUUCAUGCUAACCUUGCCUAAUUUAACCAAGAUUAGCCCAACACCUAUCCUAUGCAAGCCUAAUGUAUCUGAGGCUUUGUGCCAGACAUGUUGUAGCCCAAUGUGUUAUGUUAUGUGUGUUAUGUGGGCAGCUGUUUCUGUGUGUGUCUCUCCCCUUUUCCCCCACUGUCUGUGUGUGUGUGUGUGUGUGUAUGGCCGGUCGAUGUACCUCUCUGCACAGCUGCUGGCUAUUCCGCUUAGCAACUCUACAGUAUUUAGUCCUGGGCGAAGCUCACCACCGCCGCCAGAUCGAUGCACCUACCAGUGUGACCUACGCUUCCAGACCUGUUUCCGUGGCUCAUCACGCUCAAGCCUUCCUACCUUCCCGCUUGGAUUCCAGAAAGAAAGUUUGGCUCCACCACUGCCGGCCCUCCUCAGCCCCUAUCCAGCUCGGAGUCAGCCUACCUUGUGUUUUCUGUCCUUGGCUGCUGGUGCCAUCCCCAAUCCAUGGGUCGGACUGAGAGAGCCAACCAGGACCUAGAAGCAUCCCUUCGUUGUGUGGCUGCUCAGCGUCCGUCCUCCUGUGUCAACAUCUGCCGUGGAUAGAGUACGCCCACAACUCCCUGAUCACCUCCGCCACUGGCUUCUCACCUUCCGAGGUCGCCUUGGGAUACCAACACCCCUCCUUGUUUCCUGCUCAGGAGAGGGAACUGGCUGUUCCCUUGGUUCAAACGGACCUAAACUAAAGU